GAUGAACGCUGGCGGCGUGCCUAAUACAUGCAAGUCGAGCGAACAGACGAUGAUCUUGCUCCUCGGACGUUAGCGGCGGACGUGUGAGUCACACGUGUAUAACCUACCUAUAAUUCUGGUAUAACUUCGGGAAACCGGCUCUAAUACCGUAUAAUAUAUUGAACCGCGUGGGUCAAUAGUAAAAGACGGUUUUUGUGUCACUUAUAGAUGGUUCCGCGCCGCAUUAGAUAGUUGGUAAGGUAACGGCUUACCAAGGCGACGAUGCGUAGACGACCUGAGAGAGUGAUAGGCCACACUGGAACUGAGACAGGGUCCAGAGGACUGCGGGAGGGAGCAGUCGCGAAUCUUCGGCAAUAGGCGAAAGUCUGACGGAGCGAGCCGGAGUGAGUGAUGACGGCCUUCCGAUCGUAAUACCCUGUUAUUAGGGAAGAACAACUGUGUACGUAAAUAUGGACGUAUUGACGGUAACUAAUCAGAAAGCACCGGCUAACUACGUG
RNAcentral lists this ribosomal RNA (497 nucleotides) under uncultured bacterium. RNAcentral describes it as "partial 16S ribosomal RNA". It matches the Rfam family "Bacterial small subunit ribosomal RNA", at positions 28 to 507 of the family's 1533-position model. The record is from RNAcentral.